RNAcentral lists this ribosomal RNA (1243 nucleotides) under uncultured beta proteobacterium. Its description in RNAcentral is "partial 16S ribosomal RNA". It matches the Rfam family "Bacterial small subunit ribosomal RNA", at positions 8 to 1266 of the family's 1533-position model. The record is from RNAcentral. Lineage: Bacteria; Pseudomonadati; Pseudomonadota; Betaproteobacteria.
AGAGUUUGAUCCUGGCUCAGAUUGAACGCUGGCGGAAUGCUUUACACAUGCAAGUCGAACGGCAGCACGGGUGCUUGCACCUGGUGGCAAGUGGCGAACGGGUGAGUAAUGCACCGGAACGUAUCCAAUAAUGGGGGAUAACGCACCGAAAGGUGUGCUAAUACCGCAUACGCCCUGAGGGGGAAAGCGGGGGAUCGUAAGACCUCGCGUUAAUGGAGCGGCCGAUGCCGGAUUAGCUAGUUGGUGGGGUAAAGGCUCACCAAGGCGACGAUCCGUAGCUGGUCUGAGAGGACGACCAGCCACACUGGAACUGAGACACGGUCCAGACUCCUACGGGAGGCAGCAGUGGGGAAUUUUGGACAAUGGGCGAAAGCCUGAUCCAGCCAUUCCGCGUGAGUGAAGAAGGCCUUCGGGUUGUAAAGCUCUUUCGCAAGGAAAGAAAACUUAUCUCCUAAUACGAGGUGAGGUUGACGGUACCUUGAUAAGAAGCACCGGCUAACUACGUGCCAGCAGCCGCGGUAAUACGUAGGGUGCAAGCGUUAAUCGGAAUUACUGGGCGUAAAGCGUGCGCAGGCGGUUUUGUAAGUCAGAUGUGAAAUCCCCGGGCUCAACCUGGGAACUGCGUUUGAAACUACAAGGCUAGAGUGUAGAAGAGGGGGGUAGAAUUCCACGUGUAGCAGUGAAAUGCGUAGAGAUGUGGAGGAAUACCGAUGGCGAAGGCAGCCCCCUGGGCUAACACUGACGCUCAUGCACGAAAGCGUGGGGAGCAAACAGGAUUAGAUACCCUGGUAGUCCACGCGGUAAACGGUGAACACUAGGUGUGGGAGGUGUAAUACCUUCUGUGCCGAAGCUAACGCGUUAAGUGUUCCGCCUGGGAAGUACGGCCGCAAGGUUGAAACUCAAAGGAAUUGACGGGGGCCCGCACAAGCGGUGGAGCAUGUGGUUUAAUUCGACGCAACGCGAAAACCUUACUGGGCUGACAUGCCGAGAAUCGGUGGAAACAUUGGAGUGCCCGUAAGGGGAGCUUGACACAGUGCUGCAUGCUGUCGUCAGCUCGUGCGUGAGGGUGUUGGUUAGUCCCGCACGAGCGCCAACCCUCAUCCUAGGUGCAUCAUAGUGGGCACCUAAGAAACUGCCGCAGUAUGCGGAGAGUGGGAUGACGUUCAGUCUUCAUGCUUUAUAGCCAGCUACACUGACUCAAUGACGUCAGGCUGGAACGUAGGGCAGCCAUUCCCAAGAGCGU